Molecule: small nuclear RNA, 164 nt
Organism: Conger conger (European conger)
Lineage: Eukaryota; Metazoa; Chordata; Actinopteri; Anguilliformes; Congridae
Product: U1 spliceosomal RNA
Exons: 1
Source: RefSeq, a predicted model, not a curated record
AUACUUACCUGGCAGGGGAGAUACCGUGAUCACGAAGGCGGUUCACCCAGGGCGAGGCUCGGCCAUUGCACUCCGGCUGUGUUGACCCCUGCGAAUUCCUCAAAUGUGGGAAUCUCGACUGCAUAAUUUCUGCUAGUGGGGGACUGCGUUCGCGCUCUCCCCUG